UACCAUCCCCAGGCUCAGCCAAUGAGAGCAACACGCCCGCCCAUGGAGGGCGCUGAUUGGCCCGUGCAUCACCAUGGCAACUUCACUGCCAAUGGGCUCCCUUCCACGCAGGAGGCCUCGCAGGGGCCUCACAUCUGUCCUGCAUCCUGCAGGCAGUGUGAAGUGGACAGGUAAGCAGUCUUGGUGACUGAGUUUGUCGGCUUCCUCAUGCAGUGGUUUGUCCAGAGACGGUCCUGGGCUCUCUGCUCACCUCUACCCCAACAGCACAGGAUUCAAUGGCCAUGAUUCAGAGACUCAUAAAUAAAUCUUGUGAGAGACCAACCAGUUGCAGAGAUUCUUCUGGACCCCGCGUAAGGCUGAACUGUCCAGAGCACCCUGGAGAGGUGGGUGAGGCCCGCACCCGCCCAAACAGAGCCAGCUGAAAACCUCCACAGUCCACAAUUGCCACCAUGCUCCCGACGGGACCCCACUGCUUGGGAUGAGCCUUAUCCAGGAAUUAAUCUGCUGAAAACUCAGGCGACAUAUCAGUCUCAAGACAGACAGACGGACCCAGCGACAAACCGCUGCGUCUCUAAGGCACAGAAACACUCAGGACCCAGCAGGGCGGAAACGCCACGUGUCCAGAAGCGUGAGAGCCCCCAUCUGUGAACGCUGCCACCGGGGCAGAGGAAGCAGCAGCCAUCAGCGGGCACUUUCGACCCCAGACACUCGGAAAAGGAGUGAAAAAACAAUCGCAAAAGAGCCGCAAGAAAGGAAAUAAAGAGAGAAAUCAAUGGAACGGCAAACAGGAAAGUGAUCGAGAAAAUCAAUGAAACCAAAGAAGGUCUUUAAAGAAAUCAA
This is a long non-coding RNA of Sorex araneus (European shrew), 840 nucleotides long. RefSeq lists it as uncharacterized. Lineage: Eukaryota; Metazoa; Chordata; Mammalia; Eulipotyphla; Soricidae. The transcript is spliced from 4 exons. The record is from RefSeq and is a predicted model, not a curated record.